RNAcentral lists this small RNA (248 nucleotides) under Citrobacter freundii. Its description in RNAcentral is "STnc560 Hfq binding RNA". It matches the Rfam family "STnc560 Hfq binding RNA". The record is from RNAcentral. Lineage: Bacteria; Pseudomonadati; Pseudomonadota; Gammaproteobacteria; Enterobacterales; Enterobacteriaceae.
UUUCAUUGGGGUUGUUGAUGAUAGGUUAGCUGACUAUCCGUUAUCUUCGCAGGGAAUUGCCAGAUAGCGUAUAAAAGCAAAACACAAAUCUAUCCAUGCAAGCAUUUACCGCUGGUUUAUCCGGCGGUUUUUUUUAUCUGUAAAUCAGGAAAAAGGUACCACGAGCGCGAUUUGGGAAAAAAAUGGCCCCUUGUGCAGCUACGCAACAAGGGGCCGGGUCGGUGCAGGACUAUCUCCGUUCAUCAAUC